GUCCUGCUCCCUUGGAGCUGCCUCCGGCGGUGCCGGACAGCCGGCCGAGGGAAAGCUCGGCCGCUCCGACAUUCCUGUCUUCCGAGCCGAGUCUGCUCUCUCUCCCUGUCUCCUGCUCUCGCUGGGUUAAUCGCUUCAAGAGAUAAGGGAGGGACUGGCGACGCGGAUGAGGGUGGAGAUAAACAGGCAGUUAGGAAGUGGCUACAAGUCGGCGGCGGAAAAGGGCGGACGCACCUGCCUCUGGGGUCCUCGGGGAAGUCACGGGGGCGGUACCCCUUACCCGCUAGGUCUGGCCGGGUAACAGCUCCAUAAGAUCAGAGGAUGCAUCUUCUAUUCACCAAGUGUGUUACAGAAUGUUUGAUGCCUACUGAGCCUUCAGAUAAAUGCUGAAAGACUAAACCUUUCCAAGUCUAACAACCCUUUGUAUCAGGCCUAUCCAGCUUUGGAGGCUGCGUUCUGGAGAUCUUUGAACACAGCUGGACUCUCAGGAUUUUCUGUCAGCAACUUACAGUUCCUCAAUUCGUUCAAGCUUGCAUUCAACAAAUAGUUGAGGACCUAUGGUGAGGCAGUCACUUGCCUCCUGUGAACAGGUACAUUCGAGGUUCACCAGACAACCAGUGCCCUCUAAGUUACCGCCACCUAGGCCACUGGAAAGGAAGAGACCGCUGAUUGCCGUGACAACUAUCUAAAUUGAACCAGAAACAUGGAAGUCUUGUAUUUGAAUGUAAAGCUAUACCAGUUCACCCAUUUCACAAACCUGUUGAGCACUUUCCCAGGUGUUUUGAGGUUUACAAAGAUAAAAGACAGUGUCUCUGACCUUAACAAUCUGGCGGAUUUCAAAUUCUCUCACGAAGCCUAUCUAAUUUAAUCCUCGAGUUAAGACCAUUCUCCGUGGUGAGAGUACGGGUGAUGGGACAUAUUCCUGUCUGCUGAACCAACUGAAGCUCUGAAGGGCAACCUGAUUCACGUAGUAUCACAUCCAGUGAGGGGAAAUGCUAGAAGCACAUUCAGAGACUCCAUUUCAGUCAUCUUUAACAUGACUCUGCCCUGAUUUUGAGUCCAAGGGAUUCCUUCAGAAAAGAACUUAGAAGCGAUUUGGUCUAUCAGCCAACAUGUGGGAACAAUUGGAGUUUGGAGAACCUUUUUCUACAGUGAUACAAUAGCGGAUGUUGUCCAACUUCACACCUUGCAAGUAUGGUGCUGCCUACGCAUUGCCUGAGAGGAUAUAGUCAUCACCACGGUAUGGAAGGAGAUCAUUCUUUGGAGUGGACAGUUCGCGAUUCAAACACCAACCCCUCACAGCUCAAAUAUGACAUUAAUUUCCACGUGCCUCCAUUUUCUGAGAAGUUCUGAUGACCUACGUCGUCGAACCGGUAGAAGAGACUAUUUCCCGCUUAGGCUGGAAGCGAGGUGGAAUUUUCUCCAGCUUCAGAGUUCCAAGAUGAAUACCAAGUUCCAAGGUUGAACACCUUCAACCACGCUGCACACGACAACAGCAACACCAAUAAUAUUUUGGGUGUAAGUGUUACCUUCUCUAAAGCUCAAAGCAUUUUUAAAGAUCACGUUCUGUGUUUGUAUAGCAUUGUUCUGGGUAAAGAGAGGAAAACAAUUGUUUUCUCAUUUGGCAAGUAGCAACUGACAAAUGGCAAAUAGCAAAAUCAGGGUAAGCACUAAGCAGCAUACCUGAGAUGCCUCGGCAUGAUCCAGGAGGAGGCAGGGCAGGGAGAGAACCUGAUGAGUCUCAAAAAUAGUGAUCUAUGUGUUCCGGGCCCACCGCUGCCUGGGACACUGUCUUAUCUCAGUUGUUACUGUUUUUUACGACUAUCGAUUUUGUUGUUGUUGCUGCUGUUCCGAUUCUCAGAUGGAUGUUUAAAUUGUCUUCAAAUAUCCCCUCGUUCCCAUCAUUCCUCCCUCCAAACAUACACACACACACACACACACACACACACACAUAUAUAUAUAUAUAUACACAUAUCUAUUUCCCCCACCAGACUGCUAGGGCUGUGCCUGAAAUUCUGGAGAUGAGGGUUGGAGGUGAGGGAGAUUUCCUGCUUUCUCCUCCUCUGCCCUCUUCUCUUCUCCUGGGAAUGAAGGAAACUGAUAUUUACUAAUUGUUUACUGCACGAUGUAUUUCAUUUCACUUAACAAUCAUAACAUCCUUACUUUGGUAUUACCUCCCUGCAGAAGGAUUAAGUGGAUUCUUAAUAUUCUCACAGUUUGUAAGAUGCAGGGCUGAGCUGUGAACCCCUGGCGCUUCACCCCUUCGGGUCUCUCAAUUCUAAAAUCCAGACAUUAUUUCUCCUUUUUUCCCUUCUAAGUUUGUUCCUGAUGUUCAUUUUAAACAUAUUUAGUCCAUACUAAGCUCUUUUGGGUAGAUGCUCAAAAAAUGGGAUCAAAUGAGUAUCUUUAUCCUUUUAUGGACACUGAGACUUUUAAGUUUUGUUUUCUUUUCUUUUUUGGUUUUCCUAAACAUUUUAUUUUCUUUUCUUUUUUUUUUUUUUGUUUUUUUUUUUUGUUUUUUUUGUUUUCCUCAGCAUUAAGCUGGCUGAGUUAACAUUCUUGUUCCAAAGGCUGGGACUAAGAUAAAAGCCAAGAGUCUGAUUUAUUUCUUCAGGGAUUCAUUCAAAUCAUACAAAGCUAUUCAUUGACUUGGCCUUUCCCUCCCAAAGACCCUAAUUUAGAGUGAUUUGAUUUCAUUACUGGUGAUUGGAAGAGUUUAUUGCAUAGAAACAAACUAUACGUUCCCUUGGAGAAAUAUGAAAGUCGUCACCAGCUGAGAUGACCCAUGAAUAAAACGGGUGAAAAGUGUUCUAAAGAGGAAGAAUCCAUAAGAGAGAUUAUUUUUAGAGAAAGAAAGACGAUUGUUGGAGGUAAUAACAUGUCUUAAGCUAGAUAUGUCAUUUGGUCUCCUUAGAUAGCUUCUGCAGGAUGGAAAAUACAUUUUUUUUUUCUCCCUCAAUCUGACACACAUCAUCAUUAUAGAAAAAAAAUUGCAUAGACUAAAACACAAACAGAAUAAACACACAUAAUUCCAGCCACCCAGAUAGAAUGACAAAUAGACACUGUGAUAUAUGAACUUCCAGCCAUUUCCUGCGCACAUAUAAUCUAACAGAAAUAAAAUCAUGGCAUACUGUAUCUUUGAUACUUGCUUUUUUCCCAUUAAAAUGAUGAAUACCUACUAAUAUCAAUAAGGAAACAUUUAUAACACAAUAAUUAAAGGCCUGAUAGUAUGAUAUGUUAGUUAUGAUAGUAUGAUAGUAUGUUAUCCCAUGAUUUACUUAACCUGUCCUUUAGAAUUAAGCAAUGAGAUUAUUUCCAUCUUUCCAAUUUUAAAUAAUGAUACACAGACUGUUCUACAAAAGCCUUAACAUAAAGGAAAAACUGGGAGAUGGUAACCCAUGUUUGGAAGUGGAAAUGUUGAUUAUAUUAAAAGUAUAAAAAAAAUUUAAAGCUUUUGAUAGAUGUUACUGCAUUAUUUUUCGAAAAAUUAUAUUAACAUAUAUAGCAGGGUCUGGCUGCAUCCAUUUUUCUAAAUCCACUGAUUGAUAGAAAUAAAUGUUAUUUCAUUGUUUUAAUAUGGACUCCUCUUAUUAGCAGUAACUGAGUAAUUUGGAGGCGCCUCAGUGGCUCAGUGAGUUAAGCGUCUGACUUCGGCUCAGGUUGUGAUCACCCAGUUCCUGGGUUCAAGCCCUGCAUUGGGCUCUGCGCUGACAGCACAGAACCUGGAUCCUGCUUUGGAUUUUGCAUCCCCCUCUCUCUCUGCCCCUCUCCUGCUUUUCCUCUCUCUCUCUCAAAUAUAAAUAAAUAAGCGUCAAAAGAUAAUAAUAACGUUGGGUCAUUUUUGCUAUGCAUAUUGUUUUGUGUAUUUCUUAUUUUGUAAAUUGUUUAGUAUUUUCUGACCACUGUUUUCUACCUUCCCAGGUACUAGCUGGUCACUUGCAGAAUUGUACAAACUCGCAUGAUUUUCAGUUUUGUAAUACAUUAUAAUAUAUGCUGCAAAUA
This is a long non-coding RNA of Felis catus (domestic cat), 4002 nucleotides long. RefSeq lists it as uncharacterized. The record is from RefSeq and is a predicted model, not a curated record. NCBI's taxonomy places the organism in Eukaryota, Metazoa, Chordata, Mammalia, Carnivora, Felidae. The transcript is spliced from 6 exons.